RNAcentral lists this ribosomal RNA (155 nucleotides) under Vairimorpha ceranae. Its description in RNAcentral is "Nosema ceranae partial small subunit ribosomal RNA". It matches the Rfam family "Microsporidia small subunit ribosomal RNA", at positions 353 to 507 of the family's 1311-position model. Lineage: Eukaryota; Fungi; Microsporidia; Nosematidae. The record is from RNAcentral.
UUAAGUAUAUGAGGUGAUUAAUUGGAGGGCAAAUCAAGUGCCAGCAGCCGCGGUAAUACUUGUUCCAAGAGUGUGUAUGAUGAUUGAUGCAGUUAAAAAGUCCGUAGUUUAUUUUUUUAAAACAUUAGGUGUAGUAAUUGGAAAAAAGGCACCCA